ACGGAAGGCAGCAGUGGGGAAUAUUGCACAAUGGGGGAAACCCUGAUGCAGCGACGCCGCGUGAGUGAAGAAGUUAUUCGUAAUGUAAAGCUCUAUCAGCAGGGAAGAAAAUGACGGUACCUGACUAAGAAGCCCCGGCUAACUACGUGCCAGCAGCCGCGGUAAUACGUAGGGGGCAAGCGUUAUCCGGAUUUACUGGGCGUAAAGGGAGCGUAGACGGUCUGGCAAGUCUGAUGUGAAAGGCAGGGGCUCAACUCCUGGACUGCAUUGGAAACUGUCAGUCUUGAGUGUCGGAGAGGUAAGCGGAAUUCCUAGUGUAGCGGUGAAAUGCGUAGAUAUUAGGAGGAACACCAGUGGCGAAGGCGGCUUACUGGACGAUAACUGACGUUGAGGCUCGAAAGCGUGGGGAGCAAACAGGAUUAGAUACCCUGGUA
RNAcentral lists this ribosomal RNA (434 nucleotides) under uncultured Lachnospiraceae bacterium. RNAcentral describes it as "bacterial SSU rRNA". It matches the Rfam family "Bacterial small subunit ribosomal RNA", at positions 341 to 792 of the family's 1533-position model. Lineage: Bacteria; Bacillati; Bacillota; Clostridia; Lachnospirales; Lachnospiraceae. The record is from RNAcentral.